Molecule: transfer RNA, 62 nt
Filed under: Leocrates chinensis
Lineage: Eukaryota; Metazoa; Annelida; Polychaeta; Phyllodocida; Hesionidae
Description: tRNA-Lys
Source: RNAcentral
UACUAGAAAGCUUGCAAUAGCAUUGGGCUUUUAAUCCAAAUAAGGUUAUAAACCUCUAGUAA